UACAAGCCGAUGUUCUUUAUACGAUUCAACCCACUGACUGAUUUCUGACUAAAAGGAAAACUUGUACAAAUUAUAAGUAUUACGAAGCGACGGGUUGGUCGCGUGGUGUGGAUGGCGUGAUGUCGCGCCACUCGCACCAUGUUGCGAAAGUAUUCGUUUUAAAAUUAAGCCUCGAGCUGUAGCACAAUCACGGACUUUUCUGUUGACGCCAUUUCCUCGUUAUGGAUCGAUAAAACUGAAAGGUAGAGUAAUAAUAACAAUGGAAUGUGCUGCAAAAACAAAGGUUGAAAUGAUUAUCCGAAAUGUUUAUUAAAAAUUUACUACAAUUGUUUUUUUCUUUUUGAGCUUUUUAUUUUUUUUAUCCUAGAAGCAGUAUAUGACACCAGUUAAAGAAAAAUUAUUUUAAUAAAAACACAUAAACAGAGACUGGUACGACAUUAAAUAAAUUUUUGUUACUUAAUUUAACGCUUAUUUUAUUUUUAUUAGGUACCUAUUAAUGUUAAAGUUUUAAUAGCAUAAACACAAUUUUAUUAGUGGUAUUUUUUGCGUAGUGAACGAGCUCACGCCCCGCUUGGUGUUAAGUGCUUUACUGGAGUCCAUAGGCGUCACAAACUGACCCACCUCGACACAUGUGGUCGAAAUCUCAAUUGUGCUGUAUAAAGCUGUCUAAUCCUUCAAAUCGGAACGCACGGGAGUAAUCUGGCCAAGAAAAAAAGUACUUCAAAUUUACUUAUAACUUUCAGCUUCUCAGUUAAAUUAUAAUUUGAAAUGUUGAAAUUUCAAAAUAAAUUAUGAAGGUUUUUUUCCUCUAUUCUCAAGAAUUAAUUAAGCUACUAAUUAGCAGUAUGAUACACAAGGAGUCUGAAGGUAAAUGUUCCCGAAGCCGUAAUGGGAUCAUAGCAACGUGUUUUAACGUAAACCCAAUAUAGAUUACUAACAAAAACAAAACUACUAAUUAUUUAGUCUAUGCAUAAUAUUUUUCGUUUAACGGAAUUUGGUUUUUUUUUUUUUUUUUUAUUGCCUCGAUGGGGGGACGAGCUCACAGCCCACCUGGUAUUAAGUGGUCACUGGAGCCCAUAGACAUCUACAACGUAAAUGCGAAACCCACCUUGAGAUAUAAGUUAUAAGGUAUCAAGUAUAGUUAGUUACAACGGCUGCCCCACCCUUCAAACCAAAACGCAUUACUGCUUUACGGCAAAAAUAGGCAAGGCGGAGGUACCUACCCGUGCGGACUCACAAGAGGUCCUACCACCAGUAAUUACGCAAAUUAUAAUUUUGCGGGUUUUAUUUUUAUUACACGAUAUUAUUCCUUCACCGUGGAAGUCAAUCAUGAACAUUUGUUGAGUAAGUAUUUCAUUAGAAAAAAUGGUACCCGCCUGGGAUUCGAUCACCGGUGUAUCGCUCAACUCGAAUGCAUCGGAAGUUUUAUCCUUUAGGCCACGACGACUUUAAUAAGCCUAAAAUGAAGACGACGGUAGCCCACUCACUGAGUUCUCGCCGGAUCUUCUCAGUGGGUCGGGUUUCCGAUCCGGUGGUAGAUUCGGCGAAGUACUGCUCUUGCUAGGGUCAGUGUUAGCAACUUCGCCAGGUUUGAGCCCCGUGAGCUCACCUACUCGUUCGGUAACGCUAAUAUAGGGUCUCAAGGCUAUGAGUACAGGAAGGAUAAAAAAAAAAGAAGAAGACGACGCAUCACCCACGUGCAGUUCAUUUUAUAUGUAUUGUAUCGCGACGUUUUUUAAUUGAUCGUGUCAAUAUCGCCAGCCACCUUUUCUAUUUAAGUCGCAGGUCUCUAAGUUUAAAUAUAUUUCUGUAUAGAUUUAGUAUUACAGUACAAUAUUUCUAAAAUUAGUAGACGUAACUAGAAAAAAAUGGUUUAAGACUAAAAAUGUUGACAGACUUACAGAUCUGAUAUGUAAAAAUAAAAACCUUGAAAAAUAAAAUAAACAUUCACGCUUACGAUGUAUUGAAUAAUAUUUGAACACAUUAUAAAUAAAUAGAAUAGUUAUUCGAGACCUGUAUUUUAUUUUUAAUUUAAAACGACACACCCACCGAUCAUGAAAUAAGAUCUUUAUAAACGUAACGAAAUACAAGCAACCUUAUUAGUCUACGAAUGGGUGUGUCAUGACGUGUUUUUACGACAAGCAGUGGCGUCGCAAAACGCCUGUUGCGUAUUAUUUAAACCGUCAAGGCCAUUCUUAACUCCCAUUUAUAAAAAUCGCAAACUAGCAUUUGAAUUUCGAUCUUAAACAGUUGAGGCGUAAUAUAUAUUUUACCAUCAUUCGAAAACUGCGUAAAUAAGCGCAUUCAACGGCUGAUAUUAUUAUCUUUCCAAUGGCCUUCAAUUUUUCGACUAAUGCGUGCCACUACAGUCAAUACAUUAAAGGCCGCCCCAGAACAACUUGGCGUCGCUCGGUGGAGCAGGAGCUAAGGAUCUUGGGCAUGACGUGGGAGGAGCUAGAACAGACUGCCCAAGACCGAUGUAAAUGGAAAAAUUUGAUUCGAGCCCUACACCCCAGCAGAGGGUAAUAGAAAAAAUGAUGAUGAUGAUUAAUUAAUCUUAUUUUAAAUUAAAUUGCCACAUUCUCAUGCAACUGCCACAUUCACUGCAAGUUUUGCUAUCAUUGUUCGGAGUUCGGCACAAUAGACAUCUGCCAUAAUUGCUUGACCAGAUCAGAUAAAGCUAUAGUGAAUAACACCAUGCUGAGACCACCAAACAGUUACCAUUAGCUUGGUAUUGGUAAGCUUUGCUUAAGGGACUCUGUUGUGGUGUUUGACCUGGGGUCAGUUAUUGCAUUUUUCACUUACGCUUAUCUUAAAGAAUCCACUUUUCAUCACAUGUCACAAUUCGAUCCAAUAUUCCUUCAUUUCUGAAACACAAGUUUCAACACGCGUUUUUAUCUGCAGAUCAGUCAAAUCAUGAGGAACCCAUUUUUCAUAUUUUUUUGACGCAAACGAGUUAAUUUUGCUGAUAAGGUAACUUUGACCAUACCGAUAAUUUCUGGAUAGUUUAACUCGGAUCGGCUUCCACCAUCUCUUUCAAUUCAUUGUUAUUCACAUGUGUGGACGGUCUUCCACGUGGAUCGUUCUUCAAAUCAAAAUUUCCAUCACAAAGCAUUUAAAACAAAAUCGCAUAUUGCGUUCAUUAGCAGUCCCCUCUCCAAACGCAACAUUAGUAUUGCGAGCUGUUUCUGCAGCGUUCGUUCCAUGUCGGAACUCUUAUUCAAAAAUCACCCGAAUUUUCGAAGUAUCCAUCUUUCUUGUCUAAGCUGAAUAAAAAAAGAACUGAAAGUCGAUAAUCGAAUGUUGCACAUUUUUUAAAAGAAGAACCUCAUAGGUACCAUUUGAAAAAAGUUGUACUCAAAAAUCUCAAACUAUGAAGGUUCUAUGUCAAUUCCAAGUACCUAUUACAACAGAAUGGCAAUUUCAUACUUUAACCCCUAUUAUGUGUAAUUAUUGUUUCCUUUGGUAAAUACAUAAGUUAUACUUUACAUAACAAGUGGAUAUGUAUAUAUAUAUAUCUUUUUGCUGUAGUUGGUUGAUCUCACAACCCACUUGGUACUAAGUGAAUGCAAGUUCCUAUAAACCAAACAAUGUGUAUGUUGCAUCCCAUCUUGGACAUAAUUUAAGGUUAAAUCUUAUAGUAGCCAUAGUGCCCAUCAAAUCAGAAUGCACAAAUUAACUGUCAAGAAAUUAGCAAAAUAGCUAAUUAUAUUAUAAAGAUUCACAGUAGCACCAAAAUCCACCAUAUACCUGCCAUUUACACAAACAAGAAAUAAUGAGAUAAUUUACUUUGAAAGAAUGGAUUGACUGACUGGAAAGAUUGACGAGAAGGCAGUUUAAAGCUAUCCCUGACUUAGCUUAGCUUUGUUUUGUUGCAACACACCAUAGCUUUGUAUACAUACAAGCGGCCC
This is a long non-coding RNA of Bombyx mori (domestic silkworm), 3911 nucleotides long. RefSeq lists it as uncharacterized. The record is from RefSeq and is a predicted model, not a curated record. The transcript has 3 exons. Lineage: Eukaryota; Metazoa; Arthropoda; Insecta; Lepidoptera; Bombycidae.